GAUGAACGCCAGCGGCAGGCCUAACACAUGCAAGUCGAGGGGUAACUAGAGUGAUAGCAAUAUUACUUUGGCUAGACCGGCGCACGGGUGCGUAACACGUAUGCAACCUACCUUAUACUGGGGAAUAACUUCGAGAAAUCGGCGCUAAUACCCCAUAACAUUGCGAAGAGGCAUCUCUUUGCAAUUAAAGCUCCGGCGGUAUAAGAUGGGCAUGCGUCCAAUUAGCUAGUUGGUGAGGUAACGGCUCACCAAGGCUACGAUUGGUAGGGGUUCUGAGAGGAUGAUCCCCCACACUGGUACUGAGACACGGACCAGACUCCUACGGGAGGCAGCAGUGAGGAAUAUUGCGCAAUGGACGAAAGUCUGACGCAGCCAUGCCGCGUGCAGAAUGACGGCCCUAUGGGUUGUAAACUGCUUUUGUACGGGAAUAAACCCUUCUACGUGUAGGAGGCUGAAGGUACCGUAAGAAUAAGCACCGGCUAACUACGUGCCAGCCGCCGCGGUAA
This 506-nucleotide ribosomal RNA is filed under the name uncultured bacterium. RNAcentral's name for it is "partial 16S ribosomal RNA". It matches the Rfam family "Bacterial small subunit ribosomal RNA", at positions 28 to 523 of the family's 1533-position model. The record is from RNAcentral.